This 164-nucleotide ribosomal RNA is filed under the name uncultured bacterium. RNAcentral's name for it is "partial 16S ribosomal RNA". It matches the Rfam family "Bacterial small subunit ribosomal RNA", at positions 355 to 511 of the family's 1533-position model. The record is from RNAcentral.
UAGGGAAUCUUCCACAAUGGGCGAAAGUCUGAUGGAGCAACGCCGCGUGAGUGAAGAAGGGUUUCGGCUCGUAAAACUCUGUUGUUAAAGAAGAACAUAUCUGAGAGUAACUGUUCAGGUAUUGACGGUAUUUAACCAGAAAGCCACGGCUAACUACGUGCCAG